RNAcentral lists this ribosomal RNA (465 nucleotides) under uncultured Syntrophorhabdaceae bacterium. RNAcentral's name for it is "partial 16S ribosomal RNA". It matches the Rfam family "Bacterial small subunit ribosomal RNA", at positions 338 to 794 of the family's 1533-position model. The record is from RNAcentral. Lineage: Bacteria; Pseudomonadati; Thermodesulfobacteriota; Syntrophorhabdia; Syntrophorhabdales; Syntrophorhabdaceae.
CCUACGGGAGGCAGCAGUGGGGAAUAUUGGGCAAUGGGCGAAAGCCUGACCCAGCGACGCCGCGUGGGUGAUGAAGGCCUUCGGGUUGUAAAGCCCUGUCGUGUGGGAAGAACAGCCCUGUAGCUAAUACCUGCAGGGUUUGACGGUACCACAGGAGGAAGCACCGGCUAACUCCGUGCCAGCAGCCGCGGUAAUACGGAGGGUGCAAGCGUUGUUCGGAAUUACUGGGCGUAAAGGGCGCGUAGGCGGUUGUGUAAGUCAGAUGUGAAAUCCUCCGGCUCAACCGGAGAACUGCAUUUGAUACUACACGGCUAGAGUACAGGAGAGGGAAAUGGAAUUCCCGGUGUAGAGGUGAAAUUCGUAGAUAUCGGGAGGAACACCAGUGGCGAAGGCGAUUUCCUGGUCUGAUACUGACGCUGAGGCGCGAAAGCGUGGGGAGCAAACAGGAUUAGAUCCCCGGGUAGU